GGGGUUAUGGCUCAGUGGUUGAGCGUUCACCUUGCACGUGCAAGGUCCUGGGUUCGAUCCUCAGUACCA
This 69-nucleotide transfer RNA is filed under the name Ictidomys tridecemlineatus (thirteen-lined ground squirrel). RNAcentral's name for it is "Spermophilus tridecemlineatus (thirteen-lined ground squirrel) tRNA". It matches the Rfam family "tRNA". Rfam says of the family: Transfer RNA (tRNA) molecules are approximately 80 nucleotides in length. Lineage: Eukaryota; Metazoa; Chordata; Mammalia; Rodentia; Sciuridae. The record is from Rfam by way of RNAcentral.